UGCAGUCGAACGAUGAAGCCGGGUGCUUGCACCGGGUGGAUUAGUGGCGAACGGGUGAGUAUCACGUGAGUAACCUGCCCUUGACUCUGGGAUAAGCCUGGGAAACUGGGUCUAAUACCGGAUAUGACCAGUCCUCGCAUGGGGUGCUGGUGGAAAGAUUUAUCGGUCUUGGAUGGACUCGCGGCCUAUCAGUUUGUUGGUGAGGUAAUGGCUCACCAAGGCGAUGACGGGUAGCCGGCCUGAGAGGGUGACCGGCCACACUGGGACUGAGACACGGCCCAGACUCCUACGGGAGGCAGCAGUGGGGAAUAUUGCACAAUGGGCGCAAGCCUGAUGCAGCGACGCCGCGUGCGGGAUGACGGCCUUCGGGUUGUAAACCGCUUUCAGCAGGGAAGAAGCUUUUUGUGACGGUACCUGCAGAAGAAGCGCCGGCUAACUACGUGCCAGCAGCCGCGGUAAUACGUAGGGCGCGAGCGUUAUCCGGAAUUAUUGGGCGUAAAGGGCUCGCAGGCGGUUUGCCACGUCUGCUGUGAAAGCCCGGGGCUUAACUCCGGGUGUGCAGUGGGUACGGGUAGACUAGAGUGCAGUAGGGGAGACUGGAAUUCCUGGUGUAGCGGUGAAAUGCGCAGAUAUCAGGAAGAACACCGAUGGCGAAGGCAGGUCUCUGGGCUGUUACUGACGCUGAGGAGCGAAAGCAUGGGGAGCGAACAGGAUUAGAUACCCUGGUAGUCCAUGCCGUAAACGUUGGGCACUAGGUGUGGGGGACAUUCCACGUUUUCCGCGCCGUAGCUAACGCAUUAAGUGCCCCGCCUGGGGAGUACGGCCGCAAGGCUAAAACUCAAAGGAAUUGACGGGGGCCCGCACAAGCGGGCGGAGCAUGCGGAUUAAUUCGAUGCAACGCGAAGAAUCUUACCAGGGCUUGACAU
RNAcentral lists this ribosomal RNA (926 nucleotides) under Nesterenkonia halobia. RNAcentral describes it as "bacterial SSU rRNA". It matches the Rfam family "Bacterial small subunit ribosomal RNA", at positions 56 to 987 of the family's 1533-position model. The record is from RNAcentral. Lineage: Bacteria; Bacillati; Actinomycetota; Actinomycetes; Micrococcales; Micrococcaceae.